AUGGGAUGGAAUGGAAUGGAAUGGAAUGGAAUGGAAUGGAAUGGAAUGGAAUGGAAUGGAAUGGAAUGGAAUACUUCCCUGGAAGGGAUGUCCAACAGUCUCCUGCCCCAGCUGCAGGAUUUAAACACCAGCACUGCCAUCAGAGCUCCCCCCCAGCCUCUUCUCCCUUGCAAUGAAGGAGACACAUCACAUGGAAUCCUGGAAUUGUUCAGGCUGGAAAAGGCCUCUGGGAUUCCCAAACCCAACCAUUCCAAGGGCACCACCGGCCCACAUCCCACAUCCACAGGGCUGUUAAAUCCUGCCAGGGAUGGGGACUCACCACUGCCCUGGGCAGCUGGGCCAAUGCCUGACCACCUUUUCCAUGAGAAUGUUCCCAGGAUCCAACCUAAACCUCGCCUGGCACAGCUUCAGUGCCCUCCUCCCACCCUGUUCCUGAUCCCUGGGAGCAGAGGCCGAUUCCCACCGGCCCCAGCCCCACAGGAACCCUCAGAGCUGUGUGCAGACCUGGGCCAGGGGUUUGAGAUGGCUUCAGAGGUUCCCAACCUCACCGUGAAGCUGGUUGUCACAGAAGGACUGGGCUCAGAGAGAGGGGACAUCCCUGGGGACAUCCCUGGGGACAUCCCUGGGACAUCCCUGGGGACAUCCCUGGGACAUCCCUGGGACAUCCCUGGGGACAGUCCUGGGGACAUCCCUGGGGACAUCCCUAUGGACAUCCCUGGGACAUCCCUGGGGCAUCCCUGGGGCAUCCCUGGGACAUCCCUGGGGACAUCCCUGGGGACAUCCCUAUGGACAUCCCUGGGGCAUCCCUGGGGCAUCCCUGGGGCAUCCCUGGGACAUCCCUGGGACAUCCCUGGGGACAUCCCUAUGGACAUCCCUGGGGACAGUCCUGGGGACAUCCCUGGGGACAUCCCUGGGGACAGUCCUGGGGACAUCCCUGGGGACAGUCCUGCUCCAGGCUGGCUGGAAGCAGGCAGGAUGAGCCCUGGGCAGGCUGUGGUCCCGUGUGGAUCAGCCAUGGAAAUGUGGCAGCCAAAGCUGGGAGGGAACAGCCAAGAGCUGGUUUUGGUGGUUUUUGGUACUGUGCUGCCAACAUGUUAA
Molecule: long non-coding RNA, 1098 nt
Filed under: Cyanistes caeruleus (blue tit)
Lineage: Eukaryota; Metazoa; Chordata; Aves; Passeriformes; Paridae
Description: lncRNA (ENSCCEG00000005551.1)
Source: RNAcentral